CCCUUAGAUGUCCUGGGCCGCACGCGCGCUACACUGAGUGUCUGAGAUACGAGUCUGCCUGGUCCGGCAAGGUCUAGGUAAUCGCUAAAAGACACAUCAUGCUUGGGAUAGAUUAUUGCAAAUAUUAAUCUUGAACGAGGAAUUCCUAGUAGGCGCAAGUCAACAGCUUGCGUUGAUUACGUCCCUGCCCUUUGUACACACCGCCCGUCGCUACUACUGAUUGGAUGUUUAAGCGAGGUUCUCGAACUGCUAGCGACUUAGCUUCGGUGAGGUCGCAGUGUGGGAAGUGAACCUAGCUUUGGUGUCUAGAGGAAGUAAAAGUCGUAACA
Molecule: ribosomal RNA, 329 nt
Filed under: uncultured eukaryote
Lineage: Eukaryota
Description: partial 18S ribosomal RNA
Rfam family: Eukaryotic small subunit ribosomal RNA
Source: RNAcentral